GCCUUCGGCCUUAGUAGCGCAGCUAACGCGUGAAGUUGACCGCCUGGGGAGUACGGUCGCAAGAUUAAAACUCAAAGGAAUUGACGGGGACCCGCACAAGCGGUGGAUGAUGUGGAUUAAUUCGAUGCAACGCGAAAAACCUUACCUACCCUUGACAUGUCUGGAAUCCCGAAGAGAUUUGGGAGUGCUCGCAAGAGAACCGGAACACAGGUGCUGCAUGGCUGUCGUCAGCUCGUGUCGUGAGAUGUUGGGUUAAGUCCCGCAACGAGCGCAACCCUUGUCAUUAGUUGCUACGAAAGGGCACUCUAAUGAGACUGCCGGUGACAAACCGGAGGAAGGUGGGGAUGACGUCAAGUCCUCAUGGCCCUUAUGGGUAGGGCUUCACACGUCAUACAAUGGUGCAUACAGAGGGUUGCCAACCCGCGAGGGGGAGCUAAUCUCAGAAAAUGCAUCGUAGUCCGGAUCGUGGUCUGCAACUCGACUACGUGAAGCUGGAAUCGCUAGUAAUCGCGGAUCAGAAUGUCGCGGUGAAUACGUUCCCGGGUCUUGUACACACCGCCCGUCAUACCAUGGGAGUGGGUUUUGCCAGAAGCCGUUAGCCUAACCGCAAGGAGGGCGACUGCCACGGCAGGGUUCAUGACUGGGGUAAAGUCGUAACAAGGUAGCCGUAUCGGAAGGUGC
Molecule: ribosomal RNA, 681 nt
Filed under: uncultured bacterium
Lineage: Bacteria
Description: bacterial SSU rRNA
Rfam family: Bacterial small subunit ribosomal RNA
Source: RNAcentral